GCCGGAAUAGCUCAGUUGGGAGAGCGUUAGACUAAAUAUCUAAAGGCCGCCGGUUCAAUCCCGGUUCCGGCA
Dreissena polymorpha is the source of this 72-nucleotide non-coding RNA. The record is from the annotation of a RefSeq genome assembly. NCBI's taxonomy places the organism in Eukaryota, Metazoa, Mollusca, Bivalvia, Myida, Dreissenidae.